This 546-nucleotide ribosomal RNA is filed under the name uncultured eukaryote. RNAcentral's name for it is "SSU rRNA". It matches the Rfam family "Eukaryotic small subunit ribosomal RNA", at positions 21 to 565 of the family's 1831-position model. The record is from RNAcentral.
CGAUUGUAGUCAUAUGCUUGUCUCAAAGAUUAAGCCAUGCAUGUCUAAGUAUAAGCAAUUAUACAGCGAAACUGCGAAUGGCUCAUUAAAUCAGUUAUCGUUUAUUUGAUAGUACCUUACUACAUGGAUAACCGUGGUAAUUCUAGAGCUAAUACAUGCUAAAAACCCCAACUUCGGAAGGGGUGUAUUUAUUAGAUUAAAAACCAAUGCUCUUCGGGGCUCCCUGGUGAUUCAUAAUAACUUCUCGAAUCGCACGGCCUUGCGCCGGCGAUGGUUCAUUCAAAUUUCUGCCCUAUCAACUUUCGACGGCAGGGUCUUGGCCUGCCAUGGUGACAACGGGUAACGGAGGGUUAGGGCUCGACCCCGGAGAAGGAGCCUGAGAAACGGCUACUACAUCCAAGGAAGGCAGCAGGCGCGCAAAUUACCCAAUCCCGACUCGGGGAGGUAGUGACAAUAAAUACUGAUACAGGGCUCUUUUGGGUCUUGUAAUUGGAAUGAGUACAAUUUAAAUCCCUUAACGAGGAACAAUUGGAGGGCAAGUCUGGA